This is a long non-coding RNA of Homo sapiens (human), 221 nucleotides long. RefSeq lists it as uncharacterized. The transcript is spliced from 3 exons. Lineage: Eukaryota; Metazoa; Chordata; Mammalia; Primates; Hominidae. The record is from RefSeq and is a predicted model, not a curated record.
AGAGUGUGGCCAAGCUGUGCACCCAAGGGCUGCCCUUGCUGGGAGAAAGGCACGCCUUCUUCUUGACACAAAGCCUGGUGAAGCUUUUUCUGCCCACAAAGACAUCUUCUGCAUGCCAAGCCAUCAGCCUGCUUAAGGAACCUGAGCUCCACAGGACUCAAUGAAAAAGCAACUGUAACAGAAGAGAUAGGUAAGUUAUGUUCUCUGUUUACUUUGUUUAU